AAUAUUGGACAAUGGGGGCAACCCUGAUCCAGCCAUGCCGCGUGAGUGAAGAAGGCCCUAGGGUUGUAAAGCUCUUUCGCCAGGGAAGAUAAUGACGGUACCUGGUAAAGAAGUCCCGGCUAACUCCGUGCCAUCAGCCGCGGUAAUACGGAGGGGACUAGCGUUGUUCGGAAUUACUGGGCGUAAAGAGUACGUAGGCGGCUUGCCAAGUUGGAUGUGAAAGCCCGGGGCUCAACCCCGGAACUGCAUUCAAAACUGGUUGGCUAGAGAUCGGAAGAGGUAAGUGGAAUUCCCAGUGUAGAGGUGAAAUUCGUAGAUAUUGGGAAGAACACCGGUGGCGAAGGCGACUUACUGGUCCGAUACUGACGCUGAGGUACGAAAGCGUGGGGAGCAAAC
RNAcentral lists this ribosomal RNA (396 nucleotides) under uncultured bacterium. RNAcentral describes it as "partial 16S ribosomal RNA". It matches the Rfam family "Bacterial small subunit ribosomal RNA", at positions 360 to 773 of the family's 1533-position model. The record is from RNAcentral.